UGGCAAUAGACUCAGAAUCUGACAGAGC
This 28-nucleotide non-coding RNA is filed under the name Homo sapiens (human). The record is from RNAcentral. Lineage: Eukaryota; Metazoa; Chordata; Mammalia; Primates; Hominidae.